AGCGAACGCUGGCGGCAGGCUUAACACAUGCAAGUCGAACGGGCGUAGCAAUACGUCAGUGGCAGACGGGUGAGUAACGCGUGGGAACGUACCUUUUGGUUCGGAACAACCCAGGGAAACUUGGGCUAAUACCGGAUAAGCCCUUACGGGGAAAGAUUUAUCGCCGAAAGAUCGGCCCGCGUCUGAUUAGCUAGUUGGUGAGGUAACGGCUCACCAAGGCGACGAUCAGUAGCUGGUCUGAGAGGAUGAUCAGCCACAUUGGGACUGAGACACGGCCCAAACUCCUACGGGAGGCAGCAGUGGGAAUAUUGGACAAUGGGCGCAAGCCUGAUCCAGCCAUGCCGCGUGAGUGAUGAAGGCCCUAGGGUUGUAAAGCUCUUUUGUGCGGGAAGAUAAUGACGGUACCGCAAGAAUAAGCCCCGGCUAACUUCGUGCCAGCAGCCGCUGUAAG
This 451-nucleotide ribosomal RNA is filed under the name uncultured bacterium. Its description in RNAcentral is "bacterial SSU rRNA". It matches the Rfam family "Bacterial small subunit ribosomal RNA", at positions 29 to 524 of the family's 1533-position model. The record is from RNAcentral.